AUAGGCCCACCGGAAGGCGGGCCUGGAAAU
RNAcentral lists this ribosomal RNA (30 nucleotides) under Tripneustes gratilla (Hawaiian sea urchin). RNAcentral's name for it is "partial 12S ribosomal RNA". Lineage: Eukaryota; Metazoa; Echinodermata; Echinoidea; Temnopleuroida; Toxopneustidae. The record is from RNAcentral.